This 465-nucleotide ribosomal RNA is filed under the name uncultured bacterium. RNAcentral's name for it is "partial 16S ribosomal RNA". It matches the Rfam family "Bacterial small subunit ribosomal RNA", at positions 339 to 795 of the family's 1533-position model. The record is from RNAcentral.
CUACGGGUGGCUGCAGUGGGGAAUAUUGGACAAUGGGCGCAAGCCUGAUCCAGCCAUGCCGCGUGUGUGAAGAAGGCCUUUUGGCUGUAAAGCACUUUAAGCGAGGAGGAGGCUACCUGUAUUAAUACUAUAGGUUAGUGGACGUUACUCGCAGAAUAAGCACCGGCUAACUCUGUGCCAGCAGCCGCGGUAAUACAGAGGGUGCGAGCGUUAAUCGGAAUUACUGGGCGUAAAGCGCGCGUAGGCGGUUUGUUAAGUCGGAUGUGAAAUCCCCGGGCUCAACCUGGGAAUUGCAUUCGAUACUGGCAAGCUAGAGUAUGGGAGAGGAAGGUAGAAUUCCAGGUGUAGCGGUGAAAUGCGUAGAGAUCUGGAGGAAUACCGAUGGCGAAGGCAGCCUUCUGGCCUAAUACUGACGCUGAGGUGCGAAAGCAUGGAGAGCAAACAGGAUUAGAUACCCCCGUAGUC